UAUUAUAAUUUUUGAAGUUUCUGCUUCACGCCAAAUCAAGUGCCAACACAAAGGGAGCUGAGUAUUGAAUGUUGAAUGCAGGAUAGCGGCGGACGGGUGAGUAACGCGUGGGCAACCUGCCUCAUACAGGGGGAUAACACAGGGAAACUUGUGCUAAUACCGCAUAAUAUCAUUGGGUGGCAUCACCUGAUGAUCAAAAGGAGAAAUCCGGUAUGAGAUGGGCCCGCGUCCGAUUAGCUAGUUGGUGAGGUAACGGCUCACCAAGGCGACGAUCGGUAGCCGAACUGAGAGGUUGAUCGGCCACAUUGGGACUGAGACACGGCCCAGACUCCUACGGGAGGCAGCAGUGGGGAAUAUUGCGCAAGUGGGGGAAACCCUGACGCAGCGACGCCGCGUGAGCGAAGAAGGCCUUCGGGUUGUAAAGCUCUGUUCUAAGGGACGAAGGACUUGGCUGUGAACAAUGGUCAAGGGUGACGGUACCUUAGGAGAAAGCCCCGGCUAACUACGUG
This 509-nucleotide ribosomal RNA is filed under the name uncultured bacterium. Its description in RNAcentral is "bacterial SSU rRNA". It matches the Rfam family "Bacterial small subunit ribosomal RNA", at positions 1 to 507 of the family's 1533-position model. The record is from RNAcentral.